Molecule: ribosomal RNA, 253 nt
Filed under: uncultured bacterium
Lineage: Bacteria
Description: partial 16S ribosomal RNA
Rfam family: Bacterial small subunit ribosomal RNA
Source: RNAcentral
UACGUAGGGUGCAAGCGUUGUCCGGAAUUAUUGGGCGUAAAGAGCUCGUAGGCGGUUUGUCGCGUCUGCUGUGAAAACCCGAGGCUCAACCUCGGGCCUGCAGUGGGUACGGGCAGACUAGAGUGCGGUAGGGGAGAUUGGAAUUCCUGGUGUAGCGGUGGAAUGCGCAGAUAUCAGGAGGAACACCGAUGGCGAAGGCAGGUCUCUGGGCCACUACUGACGCUGAGAAGCGAAAGCAUGGGGAGCGAACAGG